RNAcentral lists this ribosomal RNA (867 nucleotides) under Staphylococcus aureus. RNAcentral describes it as "bacterial SSU rRNA". It matches the Rfam family "Bacterial small subunit ribosomal RNA", at positions 61 to 908 of the family's 1533-position model. Lineage: Bacteria; Bacillati; Bacillota; Bacilli; Caryophanales; Staphylococcaceae. The record is from RNAcentral.
GUCGAGCGAACGGACGAGAAGCUUGCUUCUCUGAUGUUAGCGGCGGAGGGAGAGUAACACGUGGAUAACCUACCUAUAAGACUGGGAUAACUUCGGGAAACCGGAGCUAAUACCGGAUAAUAUUUUGAACCGCAUGGUUCAAAAGUGAAAGACGGUCUUGCUGUCACUUAUAGAUGGAUCCGCGCUGCAUUAGCUAGUUGGUAAGGUAACGGCUUACCAAGGCAACGAUGCAUAGCCGACCUGAGAGGGUGAUCGGCCACACUGGAACUGAGACACGGUCCAGACUCCUACGGGAGGCAGCAGUAGGGAAUCUUCCGCAAUGGGCGAAAGCCUGACGGAGCAACGCCGCGUGAGUGAUGAAGGUCUUCGGAUCGUAAAACUCUGUUAUUAGGGAAGAACAUAUGUGUAAGUAACUGUGCACAUCUUGACGGUACCUAAUCAGAAAGCCACGGCUAACUACGUGCCAGCAGCCGCGGUAAUACGUAGGUGGCAAGCGUUAUCCGGAAUUAUUGGGCGUAAAGCGCGCGUAGGCGGUUUUUUAAGUCUGAUGUGAAAGCCCACGGCUCAACCGUGGAGGGUCAUUGGAAACUGGAAAACUUGAGUGCAGAAGAGGAAAGUGGAAUUCCAUGUGUAGCGGUGAAAUGCGCAGAGAUAUGGAUAGAACACCAGUGGCGAAGGCGACUUUCUGGUCUGUAAACUGACGCUGAUGUGCGAAAGCGUGGGGAUCAAACAGGAUUAGAUACCCUGGUAGUCCACGCCGUAAACGAUGAGUGCUAAGUGUUAGGGGGUUUCCGCCCCUUAGUGCUGCAGCUAACGCAUUAAGCACUCCGCCUGGGGAGUACGACCGCAAGGUUGAAACUCAAAGGA